GAUGAACGCUAGCGGCAGGCUUAAUACAUGCAAGUCGAGGGGCAGCAGGACUGUAGCAAUACAGUUGCUGGCGACCGGCAAACGGGUGCGGAACACGUACGCAACCUACCCAAAACUGGGGGAUAGCCCGGGGAAACCCGGAUUAAUACCUCGUAACCUUUUUAAGUGGCAUCACUUGAUAAGUAUAGCUCCGGCGGUUUUGGAUGGGCGUGCGCCUGAUUAGGUAGUUGGUGCGGGUAACGGCCCACCAAGCCUGCGAUCAGUAACUGGUGUGAGAGCACGACCAGUCACACGGGCACUGGGACACGGGCCCGACUCCUACGGGAGGCAGCAGUAAGGAAUAUUGGUCAAUGGACGCAAGUCUGAACCAGCCAUGCCGCGUGAAGGAUGAAGGUCCUCUGGAUUGUAAACUUCUUUUAUGGGGGACGAAACCCGGAUAUUCUUAUCCGAUUGACGGUACCUCAGGAAUAAGCACCGGCUAACUACGUG
RNAcentral lists this ribosomal RNA (489 nucleotides) under uncultured bacterium. RNAcentral's name for it is "partial 16S ribosomal RNA". It matches the Rfam family "Bacterial small subunit ribosomal RNA", at positions 28 to 507 of the family's 1533-position model. The record is from RNAcentral.